This 253-nucleotide ribosomal RNA is filed under the name uncultured bacterium. Its description in RNAcentral is "partial 16S ribosomal RNA". It matches the Rfam family "Bacterial small subunit ribosomal RNA", at positions 524 to 776 of the family's 1533-position model. The record is from RNAcentral.
UACGUAGGGUCCGAGCGUUGUCCGGAAUUACUGGGCGUAAAGAGCUCGUAGGUGGUUUGUCGCGUUGUUCGUGAAAACUCACAGCUCAACUGUGGGCGUGCGGGCGAUACGGGCAGACUUGAGUACUGCAGGGGAGACUGGAAUUCCUGGUGUAGCGGUGAAAUGCGCAGAUAUCAGGAAGAACACCAAUGGCGAAGGCAGCUCUCUGGGACGGUACUGACGCUGAGACGCGAAAGCGUGGGGAGCGAACAGG